AAUAUCAUUAGAUCAAUUUCAGUAAGAGUGCAAUGACAUACAUUGUUGUUACUAAAUACCACCAGUUCCAGUCUCUGAGAAACAGUGACAGGAACCCCAAUCUUUCCCCUUCUUAAGUGAAGAGGUGUUAAUAUUUUAAAAAUGAGUUUUGUGUCCCAAGGAUUAAAGCAGAUGUUUAGUCUACAUCUCAGCUUCAAAGCAAACCAGAGCUCAAACUGUAGAGGCAGUUCAGCAUUUGUGCUUCAGGGCAGGUGGGAUUCCUGGGUGCGGUGAGCUGGAUUCAGCUAUCUGAAGCACAUCCUGGCACUUAUCUCAGGCGGGUCUCCCUGGACUCUGGAGGCAGGAUGACACCCUGCAGAGUGGUGUAGCAGGUUCUGUUAUCAGGCACUCUUCUCCUUGGGGGCAGGGAAGGCCGGACCAAGGACCUCUCCGCAAUCAUCUCUGGAACUCCUCUGUGGGAUGUCUGCAGCCACGACUCAGGUCCAGAUUUUUUCUUUCUGUGAAAAAACAUAAACACAUCCUCGACCCCAAAUAUAUAUAGGUCGGGUUUUUUCAUAAUGCAUUGCAAGGGCUUUUCCACCUUGCCUUAGCAAAGGUCAGCUUGGUGUUAUCAGGCCAGAUCCGUUUGCAUCAGGAUCUGCUUGCAACUUCUAUGAGUUGCUUUCAAGGAGCCUUGUUAUGCUCCACAAUUUUUUUUUUUUUAUUAUUAGCCAUAUAUGCAGUUCUUUCAUUGGAAGAGCCAUUUGUAAAAUUUUAGCAUAAAAUCCUUUAAGGGAUUUUUUGCUAUAUCAUUAGCAAAAUACAGGCAAUGAUCUGGGAAAAGAUCAUCGUUUUUGGCCUUGAACUGAGCAAAGGCAAUUGUCCAGGAAUCAAUCUUAAAAUUAUCAAUGAAUCUAUUGUUUAGUAUAAGAAACAUUGAUCAUAGUCAAUAUUCUAUCAAACCAUUUUUUCAGAUGUUAUCCUGUCCUUUUGUACCAGACAGGCUACUGUUCUAAAUUAAGAGUUUAAUAUCAACUGGCAAAACUGGAAAGGUUUAGUCAUAAACAGCAUUUUUUAUAAAACUGUUGUAGAAUAAGUUUUACAUUUAAUAUACACAUUUGCCAUAGCUGAAUUAUAAUUAAUAUACUGUAUUUGUUGAUUAUUGUAUACUUUACCUGUUUGAGUACCUGCUAGGCAACUUGUUUUAAGCUCUCUAUUGGAAACUGUUUUUUGUAAGAAUUUUACCUAGCAGCUCAAUAUCUCUCAUAAGAACAUUAUAAGUAGGGCUUUAACCAUUGGACAUCCAAAAGUUUGUAAGCUAUCCUCCUCUUAAGCUGCAAGUCUGCCUUGCAAAUAGGAAAAUGGAAAAAUGAAGCAUUUUUUUUAAACUAAUAAUGCUGGCCUCACUAGACACCAACAUGUAGAAGAAUGAAAAUAGAUCUAUAUCCAUCUCCAUGAACAAAAUUUAAG
Molecule: long non-coding RNA, 1449 nt
Organism: Alexandromys fortis (reed vole)
Lineage: Eukaryota; Metazoa; Chordata; Mammalia; Rodentia; Cricetidae
Exons: 2
Source: RefSeq, a predicted model, not a curated record